Molecule: long non-coding RNA, 450 nt
Filed under: Acyrthosiphon pisum (pea aphid)
Lineage: Eukaryota; Metazoa; Arthropoda; Insecta; Hemiptera; Aphididae
Description: uncharacterized LOC107885923, transcript variant X3
Source: RNAcentral
GAUAAUUUAUCUAGUAAAGCAAGUGAUGACCAAGAACUAGUGCCACAACAUAAUAUCACAAAGUCUAAACGAACUAGUUUAUUUGAAAAUUUAUCUACUGAGACGAGUGAUGACCAAGAACUAGUGCCACAACAUAUCACAAAGUUUAAGCGGACAAGUUUAUUUGAUAAUUUAUCUAGUGAAGCAAGUGAUGACCAAGAACUAGUGCCACAACAUAAUAUCACAAAGUCUAAACGAACUAGUUUAUUUGAAAAUUUAUCUACUGAGACGAGUGAUGACCAAGAACUAGUGCCACAACAUAUCACAAAGUCUAAAGGAACUAGUUUAUUUGAUAAUUUAUCUACUGAGACAAGUACAAAUGAAAAAAGAAUAAAAAAUUGGACAAAGUCGGAGACACUUUGCCUUAUUGAGGCGUAUGAAAAUAAUAUUUCAAUAUUUGAAUCCAACUCA